RNAcentral lists this ribosomal RNA (1233 nucleotides) under Triticum aestivum (bread wheat). RNAcentral's name for it is "partial small subunit ribosomal RNA". The record is from RNAcentral. Lineage: Eukaryota; Viridiplantae; Streptophyta; Magnoliopsida; Poales; Poaceae.
AUGUGCUUCCACAGAUAUGUGCAGUCGUUGCUUCAACGCUGCAGAGCCAGCGGGAUUUGCCGCGCUGGGAGAGCCGGCUGUCCGGCGAGCGCCAGCUGGAUUUGUGUCAAUUUUGUGGCUGCAUGCAGUUUCCACAGCAUCUCUUUCCACCGGAGCGCCCGCAGCCCGAUCUCCUCCCCUCUCCUCCGUUUUCCACAGCAUCUCUUUCCACCGGAGCGCCCGCAGCCCGAUCCCCUCCCCUCUCCUCCGUGUGUUGACAGGAUGGUGGGCAAGGGUCCAGAGCGCCCCGAGCCUCCUGCGAGCGCUACUGGGAGGGGUGGUUCCGUUAUUCCAGCCCAGCCCCUCCGGAGAGCGCUGCUAGACAGUAUGCAGACAGCUGCGGAGGGCGCUUCUUCUUCGGCUGGGAGAGGUCGGGGGAGGACGAAGAAGGCUGCUAGAGGUGGAUGUGGCAGCGGGAGAUGUAGGAAGGCUGCUACGCCUUCCUCGCCGCCACCCUCAGCUGAUUCACCCGACCACGUGGACCCGUCUUGGACUCCGGUCCAUGACCCUCCGGUCGCCGAUCCUUUGCCCCACCACACUCGGGUCGCCGAUCCUUCGCCCCACGUGAGUCCAGUCCCAGAGUCUUCGUCCCAGAAGACUCCGGGCCCGGAGUCUUCAUCCCAGAAGACUCCGAUCCCGGAGUCUUCUUCCCACGAGACUCCGGAGGCUAGUGGCGAGAUGGUCGCCGGUGUCUUGUGCGAGACGGUGGCCGACAUGGUGUUCCAUCGGUUUUGGACCUUCUACAGGGUUUCAGAGGGAGAGCAGGAGGCCGCUUCUAUGGUUGUCGAAACCGAGUGCAAGCGCCUACUUCAGAACUUACGGCACGAGGCUCGGGUGCAGGCCGUUCGAGACUACUACGCCUCGAAGGGUAUUAGGAGGGCCAAGAAGAAGUGUCGCGACAAGUUUCUGAGUAAGGAGAAGUACAUGCAGGUGCCCUCGAGAUGGUGUGUGGAUAAGAUGGACUGUUGGGAGGCGUUGGUGGAUGCGUGGUGCUCUCCCGAAUGGCUAGUCGAACACCAAAGGGCCAAGGAUAAGCGCGACCAAAUAGAAGGUGUGCCACACCAUCAAGGGAGCUCCAACCUGUUUGAGUACGAGGAUAACUGGGUAUGUGGUUUGGUACAUGAUUCAUGCAAUUUCAUUCUUCAUGCUAGCAUUUAUCCCUUUCAAAAUGACUUAAUAUGCUUAGUUAGUUAA